RNAcentral lists this long non-coding RNA (1161 nucleotides) under Cavia porcellus (domestic guinea pig). Its description in RNAcentral is "lncRNA (ENSCPOG00000037485.1)". The record is from RNAcentral. Lineage: Eukaryota; Metazoa; Chordata; Mammalia; Rodentia; Caviidae.
ACCUCCGAUCUGCAGAGUAGGAGACAGCACAGAAGCACUGGGAGACUUGUCCAAGGUCUCACAGCUAAAGAUCAAGACCUCAAGCUAGCCCCUAAAUCCAGACAGCAGACUGCAGCCCUGGGUUCUGUGUCCUACACUCACCCCACCUGCGCCCUUGGCCCACACCUUCCCUCUCUGAACCCCAGUUUCCCUAUCUAUACAGGGACCCUGGCUGCGAAAUGCACAAGUCUGCGCGCCCACCUCCACUGCAGACGUGGUGACCGCAGCUCACCUCGGAUCUCAGGCUGCCAGAUCCAGACCUGGAGGUGCAGGACCAAGAAGAGGUCCUCUGUCUAUGAGCUACACACAGGGACGCCUCAACCUCCUGCAGUUACAGAGAGGACAGUGACACAGUGCUUCCCUCACUCGUCCUCAAAUUCGGAAUCUAACUCUUCCCAACUCAGAGACAUCCAAUCUGUGACAGCCCAUGAGGAGCCCCAUAGAGGCCCUCGGCACUGUGCUCUGGAGUUUCUGAAGGCAGAUCUACUGUUGCCUGAGAUUUCUAAGCCACUGCCUUUAUCCUGCAACUUUUCACCUCCACGUGCAAUGACAACUUUAACAGCCAUCGGUCAGCACCUGCGUUUCAGCCAGGACAGAAUAUGUGUGUUAGAAUCAAAAGUCUGUGACACUUAAACCUGGGGACCUUAGGCAAAUCAAUUGCAAACAAAGGCCAUGUUUACCCCAAUCCAGCCUUCAGAGGCUGUUCCGUCCCAUUGACAAGCUCAGGGAGGCGCAUGGUGGGUGUCAACAGACUGGAUCUGAAGGGUGUGAGUCAGCUUCCCCUUACUAGAAUCAAACGCCUGGGAUGAUUCACUUAUAAGAGAAAAGUGCUCAAGUCAGGGACUGACUCUGCCACCUUCCAGACUUACUCUAAAACUGCCGGUUCUACACAGUGAGUACCAGUGAGAGAACGUGCCGGUGAUUCGGUGGCACGAGCCGGGAGCCCAGAAUAGACCACGCUCAGCUGGUUUUUGACAAAGGAACAGAGAGGUCUUCUCCACAACUGGCGCUGUAAAACCUGGGCAUGCUGAUAUGAGUCAUAACAAUAAAAUCAGAUACUGACUUCAUCCCUUUCAUAAAAAUUAAUUCAAAAUCAAUACCGUGCAUCGUAUGUUUUACCCA